UUGAGUAGCAUUACCUUCAGAUUUUGCAUGCUUGUACCUGUUAUGGUGGUGGUUUUGUCCUUUGAAGUUUGCCUAAAAAAGGCACUAUAGGGGUGGCAAGAGCCUUAGCCAGUAACCUGCAUCCCAGGGGCGACAGGUGCAGAACAUCUUU
Protopterus annectens (West African lungfish) is the source of this 151-nucleotide long non-coding RNA. RefSeq lists it as uncharacterized. Lineage: Eukaryota; Metazoa; Chordata; Ceratodontiformes; Protopteridae. The transcript has 3 exons. The record is from RefSeq and is a predicted model, not a curated record.